This 253-nucleotide ribosomal RNA is filed under the name uncultured bacterium. RNAcentral's name for it is "partial 16S ribosomal RNA". It matches the Rfam family "Bacterial small subunit ribosomal RNA", at positions 524 to 776 of the family's 1533-position model. The record is from RNAcentral.
UACGUAGGGGGCUAGCGUUGUCCGGAUUUAUUGGGCGUAAAGAGCGUGUAGGCGGCCAACUAAGUCCUGCGUGAAAUCUCGGGGCUCAACCCCGAGCGGUCGUGGGAAACUGGUUGGCUAGAGUGCGGGAGAGGAGAGUGGAAUUCCUGGUGUAGCGGUGAAAUGCGCAGAUAUCAGGAAGAACACCCGUGGCGAAGGCGGCUCUCUGGAACGCAACUGACGCUGAGACGCGAAAGCGUGGGGAGCAAACAGG